This 345-nucleotide ribosomal RNA is filed under the name Escherichia coli. Its description in RNAcentral is "bacterial SSU rRNA". It matches the Rfam family "Bacterial small subunit ribosomal RNA", at positions 374 to 712 of the family's 1533-position model. The record is from RNAcentral. Lineage: Bacteria; Pseudomonadati; Pseudomonadota; Gammaproteobacteria; Enterobacterales; Enterobacteriaceae.
GGCGCAGCCUGAUGCAGCCAUGCCGCGUGUAUGAAGAAGGCCUUCGGGUUGUAAAGUACUUUCAGCGGGGAGGAAGGGAGUAAAGUUAAUACCUUUGCUCAUUGACGUUACCCGCAGAAGAAGCACCGGCUAACUCCGUGCCAGCAGCCGCGGUAAUACGGAGGGUGCAAGCGUUAAUCGGAAUUACUGGGCGUAAAGCGCACGCAGGCGGUUUGUUAAGUCAGAUGUGAAAUCCCCGGGCUCAACCUGGGAACUGCAUCUGAUACUGGCAAGCUUGAGUCUCGUAGAGGGGGGUAGAAUUCCAGGUGUAGCGGUGAAAUGCGUAGAGAUCUGGAGGAAUACCGG